CUGAAGCGAAGAAGAAGAAUCCGAAGCGGGAUAGAAGAGAAAAUAGGGGAAAAAAGAAGAUAAAGACAGAAAACGCAAGAAAUCUACUGCUACUUUGUCCCAAAAUAUUGGCGCCAUGUUCCAAAAAAGGGCCAAAAUGGGUUUGUCACCAGCCCAGAUACCCCUCGGCCUGAGGCAGGCAACACCUGUGACCCUGUACAGGAUAAAGUGGCUACAGAUAAUGGAUGGAUGGCUGUUGGGUUUUACUGCAAAAUUUAAGAAGCAAGUGUGACAAAGUGUCCAGAAGAACUGUGACUGGUUCUGCAAGAUGCUCAGUAAAACUUACAGCUCAUUUCCUUAUAAAACUG
Molecule: long non-coding RNA, 347 nt
Organism: Neoarius graeffei (lesser salmon catfish)
Lineage: Eukaryota; Metazoa; Chordata; Actinopteri; Siluriformes; Ariidae
Exons: 2
Source: RefSeq, a predicted model, not a curated record